Molecule: ribosomal RNA, 460 nt
Filed under: uncultured bacterium
Lineage: Bacteria
Description: partial 16S ribosomal RNA
Rfam family: Bacterial small subunit ribosomal RNA
Source: RNAcentral
CCUACGGGUGGCAGCAGUGAGGAAUAUUGGUCAAUGGACGGAAGUCUGAACCAGCCAUGCCGCGUGCAGGAAGACGGCUCUAUGAGUUGUAAACUGCUUUUGUACAAGGGUAAACCUGAAUACGUGUAUUCAGCUGAAAGUACUGUACGAAUAAGGAUCGGCUAACUCCGUGCCAGCAACCGCGGUAAUACGGAGUAUCCAAGCGUUAUCCGGAUUUAUUGGGUUUAAAGGGUGCGUAGGCGGCUUGAUAAGUUAGAGGGUAAAUGUCCGAGCUUAACUCGGGAACUGCCUCUACUACGGUUGAUCUAGAGAGGAGAAGGGGUAGGCGGAAUGUAUGGUGUAGCGGUGAAAUGCUUAGAGAUCAGACAGAAAACCGAUUGCGAAGGCAGCUCACCAAUCUAUAUCUGACGUUGAGGAACGAAAGCGUGGGGAGCAAACAGGAUUAGAUACCCUAGUAGUC